UUUUUUCUCUUUUUUCAUGUAUAAAUAAAUAUAGUACUACUACUUUACUAGCAAAGUUGUAGUAUACAAAUCCAUUAGCAUAUGGUUUUCAUUUUGCAGUCGUCAGUCCUCUCUGGUUUUGCUUUCAAGAAGAAGAAGAAACAAAAUAAACACUGGUGACACCAUUCAUUCAUUCAUUCAUUCAUUCCUGAUUGAUUCCCACACAACUCACAACACCCAGCGACUCACUCCAUCAAUCAAAUACUAGUAGCAAUCAUCAGAUUCAGACCGACCGACGGACACAGCUGCAUCAUCAUCGAUUCCAUCCCAUCCAAAGACACCAUCGAGGCAAAGCAGAGCAAAUCCAGUGCUUCUCAAUCUCAAUCUCAAUUUUAAUCUCAUCAUCCUCUCCCUAAGGCUCAAGCGCACGUCAACCGGCAUAUAUUAUACUCUGCUUUGCGAAUUGCGAUAAUGGAAGCCGAGACCAUAGCAAAUCCAGAGCUACCAAACGUCAAAGUUCCUGCGGAUGAAGGCAGCAUUAUUAAGGCACCGACCAAGCAGAAGGAAGGAAAGAAAGAAGAAGAAGAGACUGCCCUUGAUGGAGAAUUUAUAAAGGUAGAGAGGGAAUCAUUUGAUGCCAAGGAUGGUUCUCGUGUCGUUGAAACUGAAGCUUCCGUGGACAGCAAGCCAUCCGUUGCUGAGGAAAGCUUGAGCAAUUCAUCCGCUAGCAGGGAGUUCCUAGAAGCACAGGAAAAGGCGAGGGAAAUUGAGCUCGAAUUGGACAGAGUUGCAGGAGCACUGAAGGAUUCUGAAUCUCAGAAUGCACAGUUGAAACACGAGCUUUCGCUUACUAAGGGCUUGCUGGAGGAAGCUGGGAAGAAGCACGAAGAGCUUGAACUGGGUCACCAGAAAUUGCAGCGCCAGACCGUGGAGGCGGAAGAGAGACAUACAGCACAGCUCAAGGCUUUGGAGGAGGCUGUACGAUCUCAAGAACUAAAACACAAGGAGUUGACCGAAGUAAAGGAAGCAUUCGGUAAUCUUACCCUAGAGUUUGAUAGCUCGAAAAAGAAGAUGGAAGAGCUUCAGCAAGAGCUACAAACCUCUGCAGAUGAAGCCCGUAAAUUUGAGGAGUUGCAUAGAGAAAGUGGUUCUUAUGCUGAAUCAGAGACAAAGAGGGCCUUAGAAUUUGAGAGGCUGCUUGAGCUUGCAAAAGUCAGUGCAAAACACGCGGAAGACCAGAUGACUUCUUUACAAGAAGAGCUUAAGGGCCUGUACGAGAGGAUUGCUGAAAAUGAGAAGGUCGAAGAGGCACUCAAGACUACGCCAAUGAGCUUUCUACGGUUCAAGGAGAGUUGGAGCUUUCCAAAUCACAACUGCUAGACGUGGAGCAGAGGCUCGCUUCUAAAGACGCUCUUAUACACGAGUUAACUCAAGAAUUAGAUGUCAGAAAGGCCUCCGAAUCUCAGGUCAAGGAAGACGUAUCAGCGCUAGAUAUUUCGCUCUCAUCAAUUAAAGAAGAACUUCGGUCAAAAGCGUCAGAUUUGGAAGAUGCCAAGUUCAAGUUGCGGGAGGAAGAGAGCGCAAAAGGACAGGUUGAAGUUAAAUUGAAAGACCAGGAAGCCAAAGUAUCAACCAUGCAGGAAAAAGUGGCCAAGUUAACGGCAGGCAAUGAAGAGCUUGAAGCUGCUGUUGCUGAGCUAACAAAUAAUGUAUCCCAGAUGAAGGAGCUGUGCAGUGAUCUGGAGGCUAAGUUGCAGCGGUCUGAUGAGAACUUCUGCAAGGCAGAUUCUCUCCUGUCUCAAGCUUUGGCAAACAGUGCAGAACUAGAACAGAAGUUGAAAGCCCUGGAAGAGCUUCAUCUUGAAUCUGGAUCUGCUGCAGACACAGCUACCCAAAAGAACUUGAGCUUGAGGAAAUCAUACGAGCCUCUAACGUUGCGGCAGAUGAAGCGAAAUCUCAACUUAGAGAAUUUGAGACACGUUGUAUUGCAGCAGAACAAAGGAGCGUGGAACUAGAGCAACUAUUGAAUCUGGUUGAGCUGAAAAGCAAUGAUACUGAGAGAGAACUGAGAGAGUCUUCUCAGAAACUAUCAGAACUGAACGCAACACUAGAAAAAGCCGUGGAAGAAAAGGAACUGCUGAACACCCAAAUACAAGAAUACCAGCAUAAGGUGGCUGCUCUGGAGUCUGACUUGGGUCAGUCAACAGCACGACAUUCAGAACUUGAGUUGGAGUUAACGAAUGUCACUGGGAAAUGUGCUGAACAUGAGGGACAGGCUAAUAAGAUCCACCAGCGUAGCCUUGAGCUGGAAGACUUGAUGCAGGUGUCACAUUCCAAAGCAGAAGAAGCCAGCAAAAAAGUGAGUGAGUUGGAGCUCUUGCUUGAAACAGAGAAGUAUAGAAUUCAGGAGCUUGAAAACAAAUAAUCACUUUAGAGAAGAAAUACCAGGAUGCAGAGGCAGAGUCUAAGAACCAAUCAGAAAGGGUUUCUGAACUUGAUGCAGAACUUGGGCACACAAAUCUAAAGCAGGAAGCCUGGAAGUUGCUGUAGAAUUGGCUACUGAAAAAGAAAAGGAAUUGAAUCAAUGCCUGAAUGCUAUGACGGAGGAGAAGAAAGUUUUAGAAGAUGCAUCCAAAAGUUUAAAUGAAAAACUAGCUGAAGCAGAAGGGCUCCUUGAAGUCUUGCGGAAUGAAACAAAUGUCUCCCAGGAGAAAUUGGAGAGCUUGGAGGAUGAUCUCAGGGCUGCUGGUAUUAGAGAAACUGAAUAUACGGAGAAGCUGAAAUCUGCUGAGGAGCAGGUAGGUCAUCAUGGACAUUUAUUGGAGCAAGCAACCGCCAGAAGCAGGGAGAUCGAAUCCUUGCAUGAGACCCUAUCAAGGGAUUCUGAAACAAAGCUUCAAGAAGCAAUAGCAAAUUUCUCAAGCAAAGAUUCGGAAACAAAGUCAUUAUACGAGAAACUGAAAUUGCUUGAAGAUCAAGUAAGGAGUUACGAAGACCAGUUGGCUGAAUCCAGUGGGAUAUACGCAGCUACAAAAGAACAGCUGAACCAGGUUUUGAUCAAGUUGACUUCUGCAGAAAAUACCAUUGAGGACCUUUUAAGAAGGAUCUCUGAAUCAGAAAAUAAGUCUGCUCAGUUUUCUGCAGAGAAUGAACUCUUAUCUGAGACAAAUGUACAGCUUAAGGCCAAGGUAAAUGAAUUGAAGAACUUGUUGGCUACUGAAUCUAGAGUUUCAGAAGCAGAAAAACAAUUGCAAGAAGCUAUCCUGAAAUUCACCCAUAGAGAUUCAGAGGCUAAAGACUUAAUUGAGAAGUUGAAUGCUUUAGAAGGCCAGCUGAAAGCAUAUGAAGAGCAGGCUCAUGAAGCAUCUACAGUUUCUGAAAGUCGAAAGGCAGAACUGGAGCAGACUCUACUAAAACUGAGGAAUCUAGAAAGCAUCAUUGAAGAACAGCAAGGCAAGUCUGUUCAGUAUCAACAAGAGACAGAGAAGGUACUUGCAGCAAAUAUAAAGCUCACUGAGGAACUGGCAUCAUAUGAGUCGAAAGUUAAUGGUACACUGACAAAACUGUCAGCUGCACUUGCUGAGAAGGAAGAAGCAGCUGAAGAGCUUCACUCUGCAAAGAAAACAAUUGAAGGCUUGACACAACAGCUAACUUCUGAAGGGGAAAAGCUACAAUCUCAGAUGUCUUCUGCAAUAGAAGAGAAAAACAUACUCACUGAAACACAUGAAAUUUCCAAGAAGGAGCUGCAGGCUGUGGUAACACGUCUUGAGGAACAACUGAAGGAACAGGAAUCAAGUGAAAUUACUCUGAAAGCUGAGAUAGAAACUCUCAAGGAUGAGAUCAGCCAGAUGUCUGUUUUGCAAAAUCGUCUAAAAGAGCUGGAAGAACAAUUAGUGGACUAUGAACAGAAAGAAAGUCUCUCCCAAAAAGAGUUGGAAACUGAAGCUCCUCCAAAACAUGUGAUUGAAGAGCUCGAAGCUAAGAGCAAACAAGUCCAGUUCCUGGAAACCCAAGUGAAAGAUCUAGAGCAGAAAUUGCAGCUGGUUGAUGCAAAAUCAAAAGAGAAGGAGGCUGGAGGCAUUAGUGUGGAAUCCAGGGAUCUGGGAACCAGCAUCUCAACCCCAUCAAAACGGAAGAGUAAGAAGAAGUCGGAAGCCUCUUCCACUCAAACGACAUUGUCCUCAGAUACGAACGCUCAAUCUGCAGAGGGAUCUCCUUUAAUGGCCUUCAAAUUCAUCUUGGGUGUGGCACUGGUUUCAGUGAUUAUUGGCAUCGUUCUUGGGAAAAGAUACUAAAAGCUGGUAGGGCUUCCUGGUUGUGGAUUUGCUUCUGAAGAUGAAGGAAUUCAAUUUUUUUUUCUUUUUUUUUAAAAAAAAAAAAAUCUUAUUUAUGGGUUUCUCAUUUGUAAUAGUGUAGUGAGAAAGAAAAGCCAAAUUUUUGGCUGGCAUGCUAUUUAUGUAGGAGGUUAGAGCUGGUUUGGUUUUGGUCCAGUGGGAAUUGAUUUUUUAGG
Molecule: non-coding RNA, 4489 nt
Organism: Coffea arabica (coffee)
Lineage: Eukaryota; Viridiplantae; Streptophyta; Magnoliopsida; Gentianales; Rubiaceae
Source: RefSeq, a predicted model, not a curated record